RNAcentral lists this ribosomal RNA (404 nucleotides) under Actinomycetes bacterium. Its description in RNAcentral is "Actinobacteria bacterium partial 16S ribosomal RNA". It matches the Rfam family "Bacterial small subunit ribosomal RNA", at positions 355 to 776 of the family's 1533-position model. Lineage: Bacteria; Bacillati; Actinomycetota; Actinomycetes. The record is from RNAcentral.
UGGGGAAUAUUGGACAAUGGGCGCAAGCCUGAUCCAGCCAUGCCGCGUGAGUGAUGAAGGCCCUAGGGAUGUAAAGCUCUUUCACCGGUGAAGAUAAUGACGGUAACCGGAGAAGAAGCCACGGCUAACUUCGUGCCAGCAGCCGCGGUAAUACGAAGGGGGCAAGCGUUGUUCGGAGUUACUGGGCGUAAAGCGCACGUAGGCGGACUUUUAAGUCAGGGGUGAAAUCCCGGGGCUCAACCCCGGAACUGCCUUUGAUACUGGAAGUCUUGAGUUUGGUAGAGGUGAGUAGAAUUCCGAGUGUAGAGGUGAAAUUCGUAGAUAUUCGGAGGAACACCAGUGGCGAAGGCGGCUCACUGGACCAUUACUGACGCUGGGGUGCGAAAGCGUGGGGAGCAAACAGG